RNAcentral lists this long non-coding RNA (295 nucleotides) under Chloebia gouldiae (Gouldian finch). Its description in RNAcentral is "Erythrura gouldiae (Gouldian finch) lncRNA (ENSEGOG00005001729.1)". The record is from RNAcentral. Lineage: Eukaryota; Metazoa; Chordata; Aves; Passeriformes; Passeridae.
CUUAGUGACACUGCAAAAAUAUUGUGUGUCAUUUUUUUCCUAACUUAUACAAACAAUUGUGUGUUGUGCAGGGAGUGCCAGGAAGACCUGGACAUCCUGGUCCAGCUGGUGCAAAAGGAGAAAAGGGUAGUGAAGGUUCUCCUGGGAAACCUGGACCACCUGGGCCUCCGGGUAUGCCUUACAAUGAAAGAAAUGGAAUGAGCAGCUUAUAUAAACUGCAGGUAUUUCUAUUUAAUGUUAAUUGCUUUUUUUUCAAUCCCCACCCAAUUUUAUCUCAACUCAACUUUUAACCUUG